UCUGCCUGCAUGGGAAAAUGUCCUCAAUGCCAAGAUGCUAAGUUGGAAAUUGAGGAGCCUACCCCGCUGCACAGCAUGCUCCUCCUCCUCUCGGGGUGAAGUCACUGCAAAGUGGAGGAGCACUCACUCAAAGCUCUCUCUCUCUCCCUCGCUCUCUUUCUCACCCCCCUCCACGCAUGUCUCGCGUUAACUAACAUUCUUCUUUUCUCUUUUAUAUAUUUAAUUAUCUUCACUUCCUAUUGUCCCUGUGUAACAACUGUCGUCAGCCUCAUUUUGGACCGGGAUCUACACGCAAAUAACUUUUUUUCCUAUUCUGCUAUCGUUAUUAUUAGUUGACACUUAAUGUGACUUGAUAUGGAUGUCUGCCUGCAAUAUGGAUAGCAAGGAUUUAUUUUCCUGUAACAUUUCUUUUGUGUGUCUGUGAGUGUGUAUUUGUGUGAAUUUGGUGCGUGUCAUUUGGACAUUGAACAUAUGCAGUGUUUGUAACAUCUUAUUUGCUUUGCUUGCAUGUGUAAAAUGAAAAUGCGCGUUUUUUUGGGUGUGAAUUUUCCAAGUAUCGUGCAUUGCAUUUAAAAAUGCACGGUAUUUGUAACAGUCUACGACUCAUCUUUACGUUUAACAAUAUUUAUAUAUGUGUAGCCUAUUUUUAAAGCCUGGUUAAAUUUCACAUUUCACAUUUUCUCCCCCCUCCAUCACCAAACUCGUGCAAAAUAUUCUAUUUUAAAAACAUUAACAUUUUGUAUCUGGUUCCACUGUGCAUUUGACUCUGCAGUCAGUCGAGUUCAAGUCUCACUUAAGCCGAAAGGGAUCGCUGUAGGCGCUGCUAAAGCUUUGGAAAGGGGAAAAAACUCCACUGAGCGAGAGAGAGAGGAGGGGGAAAAAAAAGACUGAUGACGCUGGAAGAGUGGGAGCAGCCUUAAAAAAAAAGAAAAAAAAGCAGAUAGGAGGAGGAGGAGGAGGGCUGGAUAAACAAAGCGAGCCCACGGUACCGCCUCCUAAUAACCAGAUGACAGCGGUACCAUCGUGAUGAUGAUACCGAUGAGACCCAGUCCACUUAGACCGCUCAUCCCUGGAACUUCUUCUUCUUUUCAUUUUCCAAGCAAAAACAAUUGCAUCCAGAUCACACGCAUUCAGAACCACUUAAAUGAUGGGAGUUCUUGAUGGUGUCGUCGUUAUGGCAACCGCAUCCAUCUCUGACAAGCACACAGAUCCAAGCUGAGGAAAUCACCCUGCACGCGUUAAUAAGCACAAUUUAACAAUAUUAAAUAUGUAUGACUAUCCCAAUGUCCUAAUUCAUGUGAUUUAAAAUGCCUUCAAUCAAUAAAGCCUGCAUACCCCUCUCA
This is a long non-coding RNA of Dunckerocampus dactyliophorus (ringed pipefish), 1343 nucleotides long. RefSeq lists it as uncharacterized. The record is from RefSeq and is a predicted model, not a curated record. The transcript is spliced from 2 exons. NCBI's taxonomy places the organism in Eukaryota, Metazoa, Chordata, Actinopteri, Syngnathiformes, Syngnathidae.